UAGAGGGGAGGUGACCGUGGAAGU
This 24-nucleotide microRNA is filed under the name Mus musculus (house mouse). RNAcentral's name for it is "mmu-miR-7058-5p". Lineage: Eukaryota; Metazoa; Chordata; Mammalia; Rodentia; Muridae. The record is from miRBase by way of RNAcentral.